This 321-nucleotide ribosomal RNA is filed under the name uncultured Prevotella sp. Its description in RNAcentral is "bacterial SSU rRNA". It matches the Rfam family "Bacterial small subunit ribosomal RNA", at positions 352 to 670 of the family's 1533-position model. The record is from RNAcentral. Lineage: Bacteria; Pseudomonadati; Bacteroidota; Bacteroidia; Bacteroidales; Prevotellaceae.
UGAGGGAAUAUUUGGGUCAAUGGACGGGAGUCUGAACCAGCCAAGUAGCGUGCAGGAUGACGGCCCUAUGGGUUGUAAACUGCUUUUAUAGGGGGAUAAAGUGUGCCACGUGUGGCAUAUUGCAGGUACCCUAUGAAUAAGGACCGGCUAAUUCCGUGCCAGCAGCCGCGGUAAUACGGAAGGUCCGGGCGUUAUCCGGAUUUAUUGGGUUUAAAGGGAGCGUAGGCCGUCUUAUAAGCGUGUUGUGAAAUGUCGGGGCUCAACCUGGGCAUUGCAGCGCGAACUGUGAGACUUGAGUGCGCAGGAAGUAGGCGGAAUUCG